GUGGGGAAUUUUGGACAAUGGGCGCAAGCCUGAUCCAGCAAUGCCGCGUGCAGGAAGAAGGCCUUCGGGUUGUAAACUGCUUUUGUACGGAACGAAACGGUCUGGAUUAAUACCCUGGGCUAAUGACGGUACCGUAAGAAUAAGCACCGGCUAACUACGUGCCAGCAGCCGCGGUAAUACGUAGGGUGCAAGCGUUAAUCGGAAUUACUGGGCGUAAAGCGUGCGCAGGCGGUUUUGUAAGACAGGCGUGAAAUCCCCGGGCUCAACCUGGGAAUUGCGCUUGUGACUGCAAGGCUGGAGUGCGGCAGAGGGGGAUGGAAUUCCGCGUGUAGCAGUGAAAUGCGUAGAUAUGCGGAGGAACACCGAUGGCGAAGGCAAUCCCCUGGGCCUGCACUGACGCUCAUGCACGAAAGCGUGGGGAGCAAACAGGAUUAGAAACCCUGGUAGUCC
This 450-nucleotide ribosomal RNA is filed under the name uncultured bacterium. RNAcentral's name for it is "partial 16S ribosomal RNA". It matches the Rfam family "Bacterial small subunit ribosomal RNA", at positions 354 to 796 of the family's 1533-position model. The record is from RNAcentral.